GAUGAACGCUGGCGGCGUGCUUAACACAUGCAAGUCGAACGAUGAAGCCCAGCUUGCUGGGUGGAUUAGUGGCGAACGGGUGAGUAACACGUGAGUAACCUGCCCUUAUCUCUGGGAUAAGCCUGGUAAACUGGGUCUAAUACCGGAUAGGAGCGUCCACCGCAUGGUGGGUGUUGGAAAGAUUUAGCGGUUUUGGAUGGACUCGCGGCCUAUCAGCUUGUUGGUGAGGUAAUGGCAAACCAAGGCGACGCCGGGUAGCCGGCCUGUGAGGGUGACCGGCCACACUGGGACUGAGACACGGCCCAGACUCCUACGGGAGGCAGCAGUGGGGAAUAUUGCACAAUGGGCGCAAGCCUGAUGCAGCGACGCCGCGUGAGGGAUGACGGCCUUCGGGUUGUAAACCUCUUUCAGUAGGGAAGAAGCGAAAGUGACGGUACCUGCAGAAGAAGCACCGGCUAACUACGUG
This 466-nucleotide ribosomal RNA is filed under the name uncultured bacterium. Its description in RNAcentral is "partial 16S ribosomal RNA". It matches the Rfam family "Bacterial small subunit ribosomal RNA", at positions 28 to 507 of the family's 1533-position model. The record is from RNAcentral.